RNAcentral lists this long non-coding RNA (1339 nucleotides) under Meleagris gallopavo (turkey). RNAcentral's name for it is "lncRNA (ENSMGAG00000020380.1)". Lineage: Eukaryota; Metazoa; Chordata; Aves; Galliformes; Phasianidae. The record is from RNAcentral.
CGCGCCUACAAAGCCUGGAACGCCUACAGCGCGCCUAAAGGCCGCAGCCGCUCACCGCUGCCCGCACCUCACCGCCGCAGCGCGCUCAGCGACCUCAACGAUGGCCGGCGCUCCGCCUCUUCCGCGGCUUUUAUAGCGGCGCCGGCCGAAUCUUCUGGAAUGACGCCGCGCUACGUCACGGCGCUGGAACGGUCUGGAACCCGUGCGCGUGACGUCACCGCGGGGAGCGGAGCGCCAGGCGGCGCCUCAGGGGGCGGGAAGGUGACAAGGGGCGGGCCGAGUGGAGCUGCGUGUUGGGCGGGCCUAUGGUGGGGGGGGGCUGAAGACUCAAGCUGAUUAAUUUGUUAUGAGGUGAUGCGUCGGUUCUGUGAGGAGACGCUGUGGUGUGUGCGCUGUGGGUGUAACAGGGGCUCUGAGCAGCCCGUUUGCUGCUAGAAGCAGUAGUUAGUGAGUGUUGUCCCAGAAGUGCAGCAUGGAUGAGUCUCUUUGUUUUGUGUUCUCUCUCUUAAUUGGAGUGAGCUACUGGAUUACCUUUACUUUAUCUUUGCUUUCAAAUAUUUGUUUUCUUUCAUUUUGCUUCCGUUUGGUAUUUUAACCUCAUUAUUUAUUGAGAGAAUUAGCAAAGUAGGAGGAGUUGGUGUUUUGAGGCAGAGCGAACACAGAGUGUAUUACCUGUGCUGCUUUCAUAGAAUCAUAGAAUGGCCUGGGUUGAAAAGGACCACAAUGAUCAUGUAGUUUCAACCCCCUGCUAUGUGCAGGGUUGCUGACCACCAGACCAGGCUGCCCUGAGCCAAACCAGCCUGGCCUUAAAUGCUUAUCUUGAUAAUUGAAGAUAGUGUUAUGCCUCUGAAGCAAAGCAAAUGCAUCCUCUUUUCCAGUACUCUGCUAUGGAAUGGAGUGGGAAUCCUUAUCUCUAUACUCACCAUGCUGCGUGUCAUAAAUCAUGCCUUCUGAACUGUGAAACUGUUACUGAAAAGAGCGUCCUGUCUCCUGGUGAUGCAGUUGCUUAUUUAUGCCUGACCCGCACAGUUCUUCAGCAUAUUUGUGACCAGCCUCAGAGGGUGUGUCAGCAUGCCUAACAGUGGGGAGACUCUUAAGAAAAAUCUACAAGAUGAAAAUGGGUAAAGUAGCUUAAUUAUUUAUGUUAACAAACUGAUUUUUGGAUUUUUUUUGGAACUUCACUUUCUCUUCUAUUACCCAGUGGAUCCAUGAGGACCUUACAUGCCUCAUAGGGACUCAGUCUAAUGCAAGAUUAGAAUUAUCCUUGAAUGAGAUAAAAUGGUAAUGAAAAUUCUAAAUGGUUUUAUUCUAUGUUGACUCCUAGUUUGGCGUUAAUCCU